This 417-nucleotide long non-coding RNA is filed under the name Sinocyclocheilus grahami. RNAcentral's name for it is "lncRNA (ENSSGRG00000034478.1)". The record is from RNAcentral. Lineage: Eukaryota; Metazoa; Chordata; Actinopteri; Cypriniformes; Cyprinidae.
UCAGAUUUGCAGGAGAAAGUCGAUCAGGGUCCUUGUACAGCAAUCACGGCUCUUUUGCAGUACUUCCUGCUGGCCACGUUUGCCUGGAACAUCCUGUAUGCGGCUCAUGUGUUUUUCCUCAUUCGAAAUGCCCUCAGCGGUCCACCUCGAGCUUUCCGCACCAUCGCCAUGACAGUCGGCUGGGGUCUGCCUGCUGUUAUUGUCGGCAUCUCGCUGUCCACCACCUACAGCUUUAGGAAUCCUUUAGGUUAUCGACAAGAGGAGUUCUGUUGGCUGGCGUCUCUGGACAAGGCGGGAAGGUUUGAUCCAAAGCGGCCGAUGUUGUGGGGUUUCUUGCUCCCUCUAGCAGUCAUGUUGUGUUUUAACACAUCUCUGCUGGUCUACUUCUCUCAAACCAUCUGCUGUGCGAAUCCCAAC